RNAcentral lists this ribosomal RNA (326 nucleotides) under uncultured eukaryote. RNAcentral's name for it is "partial 18S ribosomal RNA". It matches the Rfam family "Eukaryotic small subunit ribosomal RNA", at positions 1470 to 1796 of the family's 1831-position model. The record is from RNAcentral.
CCCUUAGAUGUUCUGGGCUGCACGCGCGCUACACUGAUGCACUCAACGAGUUUACGACUUUGCCCGAUAGGGUUGGGUAAUCUUUUUAAAAUGCAUCGUGAUGGGGAUAGAUUAUUGCAAUUAUUAAUCUUCAACGAGGAAUUCCUAGUAAGCGCGAGUCAUCAGCUCGUGCUGAUUACGUCCCUGCCCUUUGUACGCACCGCCCGUCGCUCCUACCGAUUGAGUGCUCAGGUGAAUAAUUCGGACUGCAGCAAUGUUUGGAUCCCGAACGUUGCAGCGGAAAGUUUAGUGAACCUUAUCACUUAGAGGAAGGAGAAGUCGUAACA